GGGCCACACCCACAGCACAUGGAGGUUCCCAGGCUAGGGGCUGAAUCAGAGCUACAGCUGCCAGCCUACACAACCACAGCCACACAGGAUCCGAGCCGCAUCUGCGACCCACACCACAGCUCACGGCAAUGCCAGAUCCCCAACCUACUGAGCAAGGCCAGGGAUUGAACCCGCAACUUCAUGGUUCCUAGUCAGAUUCAUUUCUGCUGUGCCACAAGAGGAACUCCCUCUAUUACAUUUUUCAUUUAAUUAAAUAACUGCUGUUGAACAUUCUGAAAUACAGAAAAAGAGAACCAGUAAAACACCUGCCAAUUACAUCAACACAGCUCUUCCAGCCAGAGGUAAAAUGAUCCUUCCUUUCUCCUUUCAAAUCAACUCCACAAUUACCCCAACAGCGGAAUUAUUCUGAUUAGUCACACUGAACCACAGGGACAGACUGUGAUCAAUCAAUAGAAGUGACAUACAAAGACAAGGAUGAUCUUUCCAGUGAGUAUCGUAUAAAUACAAUGGGUCUCCUCAAAAGCAGGAGCUGUGUCUUUUUCCUCUCUAGCUGUGCACACUAGCCAGUCUAAGUAUCCUAUCAAUGAGGUUAUUAUCUAAAAGUGGCAGUCAUCCUGCCUUCUGGAACACAGGGAAGUGAAGUAGAAGUGUAACUCUGAGAACUUCAAGUUCAACUGGGAUUGGUGCCCAGCUACUCAUGAGGAGAUGUGUCUAACAACGUGAGUUCUCAGGGUGCCAGUGAUCAUCACUGUCAUCACUUAGAAGGUACUGUCUAAGCCACCACUAAAGAGAAGCUCAGGGGUUUCUCUGUGGCUCAGCAGGUUAAGGACCCAGUGGUGUCACUGCUGCAGCUUGGGUCGCUGCUGUGGUGAGAGUCUGAUCCCUGGCCAGGGAACUUCCACAUGCCACAGGCGCUGCCAAAAAUUUAAAAACAAAACAAAUAAAAAGAAGCUCAAGGAGUUCUUGCUGUGGCAAAACAGGAUGGUUGGUGUCUCUGCAGGGCCAGGAUUCAGGUUCGAUCCUGGCCUGGUACAGUAGGUUAAAGGGAUCCGGAGUUGCUGCAGUUUCAGUGUAGGUUACAACCGCAGCUCAGAUCUGAUCUCUGGCCCACAUGCCAUGAGCCAGCCAAAAAAGAAGAAAAGAGAAAAGAAAAAAGCAGCUCAAGUACAAGUCUUGAAGGAAGAACAAAUUUUCUGAUUUGGGAUGGGGGCGGGGAAAGAACUAUCCCUAUCUAGAAAACAACUUUUUAGAAAAGGGAAACUCUUAGAUGCCUGAGUUACUUUCAGCCCAGCUGAAAAGAUGCUAAAUUGACCACACUAUCUACUCAAAGAUUAGGUUACCUAUUAUGCAAAUCAUUAUCAAACCAAAAGGGCUCAACAGGGUGUAUCAACUCAGAAAGAAAGACAGACCCAUCAAACCUGGAUACUUUCUGAGAUGACUAUGUUAUUUCACUAGCCACUUUCAAUUACUUUUUUGUAAAUUCUGCAACUUUGAUCAGCAAGUUAAAAUGCAAAUAGUUUCUUGUACCAUUUCCAUCCAACUUAUUCUAAAUCAAUAAAUACAAACGAUGCUAUCCUCCUCUACCAACACACACACACACACAAUUUCCGGAGAGCAGAGUUUAGUCACUCCAGAACCUAGACAGCUUUCCUUUCUGACACAAUAAGGUUUUGACCUUCCUUGUUACUACCUCAUCACGCAAAAAGUUCUGACUGCCAGGACUAGAACCAAGGCCAUAAGUCAGGAUCAUAUACUAAAACUAAUCCUAGGUACAGGUAACACUUAUUGAGUGUCUACUACAUGCUGAAAAGGCAUUUGGUUGAUAUUGCUUUAUCCCUAUUGCUCUAGCUAAGCCAGUGCACAUAUAAGCUACUGCUUUUAAGAAGUGCACAAACUGAGCAGAACAAUCCCCAAAGAGACCUUUCUCUCAGUAUCCUCCACAGGGCCCAGGAGUCCCCUGUGUGUGCAAAUUUCUACAUUGUGUUUUAAAAAACACUAUCUACAUCAUUCCUCAUUUCUAAAGGCAUUCUUUACUCGUGAAGGACUUUUAUAGCUUUAUAAUACAGCUGUUUAUCAAAGGUCACUGCAGUGCCAUAAACUACACUUUGGGGUUAUGUCCCAUCAUUCAUUCUGCUGCCCUAACCCUACCGCUUUUAAACUGACUGAACACCUCUCAUGACUUUUUUAUCCACUAAAUAGGCCAAUAGUACCAACUUCACAGGCACUCAAAUUCAAGUCUUGAAGUUCCUCUCUGCUCUCAUCCAGAUAUGUCAUAAUAGAGUGGCUUUCUUGAGACUGAACUUCAUCUCCUUAGGCCAACUGAAGAGAAGACCUGGGGGUGGGGGUUGGAGGGAAUGUCAACCAAAAACAUACACUAGAAAUGAACAUCUGUAAAAGAUUGUGUAAACGAAGAAACAAGCUCAGAAAACAAGGCCAGUGUUUACAUACAAACCACAUAAAAGGAAAGCCUUCUCUUAGCCCAGGUUCCAAAGAGGCUGGCCUCAAUCCUGGUCUAGGUUGCAUUAGUUCAUCAUCAUUAACGAUGCAGUUCAGCUGUAUUAAUGAGACACUCACACAGAGGUGGAUGCUGUACAGAAUCUGGAAAGACUCCCAUAUCUAAAGUCUAAAAAGCAACCCUGAAAAGAAGAUACAGUACUCUCAAGGUUUCCUUUCAGGUUCUGGGGACUCGGCCCUUUAGGAUGUAGAAAGCUCCGGAAGCGAGAAGCUGACGACUAGGUUAAAUCUAGGAACACAGGAAGAAGGAUUCCGGCAUCCGAAGGAGAUCGAAAGCCAGAGUCGAAGUCGUCCCUCCGGCGGCAGGGGCCUGACCUUUGCCCCCCUGCACCUCUCCCAGUUCCCUCCCAUAACAUUCUCUCCCUCUUCUCGAUUCUGCCCCGGCUCAUUCAAUUUAAGGGCCCUCCUCCCCUAUUCCCUCUCGCGAUGUCAGAGCGGCCUUCACGACUCUGGAACUCUUAAGAGACUUCGCUGACCUGUCAGCGGAUCCAAAAUGGCGGGGCCUAGUCCCAGGACCGGCAGCCGCUGCUCAUGUCCAGCCCAGGCCCCGAAGGCGUCUCCCAGCUGCUCUACCGGCUCUGGUGGCAGAUGCGAGCAGGGAAGGUGCUCGUUUCCUGGGAGUUGACGCUGAAAUCAAGAGCCGCACAGUUGGUCGGGAAGAGUCGACCGGAACGGGCGGUGGAGCCGGCUGCCUUCCCUGUCAGCUCACUGACGUGGUAACUAGCCUCAGUCUAGCCCGCUGCCUGGUAACUGCGCGAGGCCUGCCGCGCACAGCCAAUCAUAGCUUUGCACUGUGAAAAGUGGCAUUCCAGCUAUCCAAUUGAAGAAAGGAAAUUGGCUUUUGGAGGCGGGUAGUGCCCGAAGAGGCUAGAUUACAAGGGAAAGAAAAGGGUAGGCAGGGGACAACCAACGGAUAUGAGGACUCUCUGAGUGACAGUUAUGAAAGCCAAUAAAAAAGGAGAAUUUGUGCUGGGCAGUUGGAGAGGCGGAGUUGGGUAGAGUUUGGUUGCAGUGCGUGGCUUGACAGUGGCUGCUGGGCAUUAUGGGGAAGAAAGCUAUGAUUUGCUGGAAAGGGGGCGGGGUCCGUUUUGAGAGCCUGAGUGGACGGCCUUACUCCCCCCCAUCCCGAUGCCCGCUGCCACUCCUUAUUAAAGUCACCUGGGCCAAUACCGUGACCCUUGAGGGAUCAUUUCCUUUCGAGGCAUCGCUGGGCUCCCUCCAGGAUGGAGGAGCAAUCUAUUCCAAACUCCCUUCCCCCACCGUCCCGUCCGCUUGCCCUGUUUGGCUUCUCAUAGAUGAGUCCGUCCCAUCUCAACUUUGUUUCUAUGACUUGCGCCGAUGGAGACAAUGGGAGGUGACAGAAACCUUGGGUAUCUAAUUCAGGUCCUUUCAUUUUGCAGAGCAGGAAACUGAUUCCCAGAAUGGAAAGAGAGCCCCCACGUUUUUUUAUAGCUAGUUAAUUACAGAGCAGAGAGACAAACCCAGGUGUCCUCACUCCACUCCAGCUCUCUUUUUCACUGCCCUUCGAUAUUUCUUAUGCUUUAGUCUAUCAGACUGUGACUCCCAGCUCUGACCCUCAUCCUAAGCCUCAGACACCCUUUACCUACCUGGAAAAAAAGCUAACCACACGGGUUAGUCCUCAUCACCAGGGACAGGAAACUGAAACCUUUACUGUUUGCCUUAGAAAUGCUAAGAGGCCUGAGGGCAAGAUGCUAGCCCACAGUAUUCACUCUCCUGCCCCCAGCUGCUUCUCCCCUGGCAAGAGAAGAUACAGGGUACCAAGUUAUUUAGAAUUACCUAGAAGUAAGAGUGUGUAGAAAGAGGACAGAAAGAUGACUUUCUCCUUGCAGAUUGAAUGGUGGAAUUCCUAGCCUGUCUGCUGGAAUAAAGCCCAGGUGUUCCUGCAGAUCUGAAGAGACUGCUGGGACACAGUAAAAGAAGAUACCAACUCUCCCCUCAUUUUCUCCCAUUUAUGGAUGACCCAAGUCCAGGGAAACUCCAUUCCUAACCCCAUAGGAAUGUGGUCUCAAAACCAGACAGCCAAAGACCAACCUUGGGCUAGAACCCUCUAAUAUGAAGAAACCACCAGAACUGACAUCAGAAGAAUUCCUUAACAGCUUCCUGCACCUGGAUUUUGGGCUCCUGAUCUCUGGGUCCAGGUGAAGACCUUGCCUCUUUCACCCAAAAAGUCAGGAGUAGCGGGUACAACCACCAUAGCAUCUCUUUCCACACUACCUCUGAGCCAUUUUCCACCUUCAUUUGAAAACUGAUACUUGGUCUCUUGGGCAUAUCUCAGAGAAGUCCUGGAUAAUAAACUGGAAAAUUCUCUAAGUGGCCCAAAACUCCCUUCUACCCCAUCUCCACUCCUACAUACCUCUAGAAAUUAAUCGAUCUGAAAG
Molecule: long non-coding RNA, 4913 nt
Filed under: Sus scrofa (pig)
Lineage: Eukaryota; Metazoa; Chordata; Mammalia; Artiodactyla; Suidae
Description: lncRNA (ENSSSCG00005016053.1)
Source: RNAcentral